UACAGAGGUCUCAAGCGUUGUUCGGAUUCAUUGGGCGUAAAGGGUGCGUAGGUGGCGCCGUAAGUCAGGUGUGAAAUUUCGGAGCUUAACUCCGAAACUGCAUUUGAUACUGCGGUGCUUGAGGACUGGAGAGGAGACUGGAAUUUACGGUGUAGCGGUGAAAUGCGUAGAGAUCGUAAGGAAGACCAGUGGCGAAGGCGGGUCUCUGGACAGUUCCUGACACUGAGGCACGAAGGCCAGGGGAGCAAACGGG
This 253-nucleotide ribosomal RNA is filed under the name uncultured bacterium. RNAcentral describes it as "partial 16S ribosomal RNA". It matches the Rfam family "Bacterial small subunit ribosomal RNA", at positions 524 to 776 of the family's 1533-position model. The record is from RNAcentral.